UAGGCCUAUAGUUUGAGCCUGUGCUCAGUAGCUCUCGUAACCGUGUCCCCGUAUAGUUUUAGUGGCGGACCGGUGAGGAAUACAUCGGAAUCUACUUUUUCGUGGGGGAUAACGUAGGGAAACUUACGCUAAUACCGCAUACGACCUACGGGUGAAAGCACGGGAUCUUCGGACCUUGCGCGAUUGAAUGAGCCGAUGUCUGAUUAUCUAGUUGGCGGGGUAAAGGCCCACCAAGGCGACAAUCCGUAGCUGGUCUGAGAGGAUGAUCACCCACACUGGAACUGAGACACGGUCCACACUCCUACGGGAGGCAGCAGUGGGGAAUAUUGGACAAUGGGCGCAAGCCUGAUCCACCCAUACCGCGUGGGUGAAAAAAGCCUUCGGGUUGUAAAGCCCUUUUGUUGGGAAAGAAAUCCAGCUGGUUAAUACCCGGUUGGGAUGACGGUACCCAAAGAAUAAGCACCGGCUAACUUCUUGCCAGCACCCGCGGUAAUACAAAAGGUGCAAGCGUUACUCGGAAUUACUGGGCGUAAAGCGUGCGUAUGUGGUCGUUUAAAUCCCUUGUGAAAACCCUGGGCUCUACCUGGGAACUGCACUGGAUACUGGGCGACUACAAGUGGUAUAGGGUAGCGGAAUUCCUGGUGUAUCACUGAAAUGCGUAUAAUCACGAGGAACAUCUAUGGCGAAAGCGCUCCCUGUACCACCACUGACACUC
This 715-nucleotide ribosomal RNA is filed under the name Stenotrophomonas maltophilia. Its description in RNAcentral is "bacterial SSU rRNA". It matches the Rfam family "Bacterial small subunit ribosomal RNA", at positions 43 to 748 of the family's 1533-position model. The record is from RNAcentral. Lineage: Bacteria; Pseudomonadati; Pseudomonadota; Gammaproteobacteria; Lysobacterales; Lysobacteraceae.